This 431-nucleotide ribosomal RNA is filed under the name uncultured bacterium. RNAcentral's name for it is "bacterial SSU rRNA". It matches the Rfam family "Bacterial small subunit ribosomal RNA", at positions 29 to 506 of the family's 1533-position model. The record is from RNAcentral.
ACGAACGCUGGCGGCAUGCCUAACACAUGCAAGUCGAACGAGACCUUCGGGUCUAGUGGCGCACGGGUGCGUAACGCGUGGGAAUCUGCCCUUGGGUUCGGAAUAACAGCGAGAAAUUGCUGCUAAUACCGGAUGAUGACGUAAGUCCAAAGAUUUAUCGCCCAAGGAUGAGCCCGCGUAGGAUUAGCUUGUUGGUGAGGUAAGAGCUCACCAAGGCGACGAUCCUUAGCUGGUCUGAGAGGAUGAUCAGCCACACUGGGACUGAGACACGGCCCAGACUCCUACGGGAGGCAGCAGUGGGGAAUAUUGGACAAUGGGCGAAAGCCUGAUCCAGCAAUGCCGCGUGAGUGAUGAAGGCCUUAGGGUUGUAAAGCUCUUUUACCCGGGAUGAUAAUGACAGUACCGGGAGAAUAAGCUCCGGCUAACUCCGU